UAACUCUUGUUUUUCUUCAUAUCGAGUAAAUCUUUCGCCUUUUACUAAAGAUUUCCGUGGAGAGAAAUAUUAUGAGUAUAAACCAAUUUUUUUAAAGCUUCACUUGGUAGUGAAGUU
This is a small nuclear RNA of Neoarius graeffei (lesser salmon catfish), 117 nucleotides long. RefSeq annotates it as U5 spliceosomal RNA. The transcript has a single exon. Lineage: Eukaryota; Metazoa; Chordata; Actinopteri; Siluriformes; Ariidae. The record is from RefSeq and is a predicted model, not a curated record.